AGGGUUUGAUCAUGGCUCAGAACGUACGCUGGCGGCACGCCUAACACAUGCAAGUCGAACGAAGUAGCAAUACUUAGUGGCAGACGGGUGAGUAACAUGUAGGUAUCUGCCCUUUGGCCUGGAAUAACACGAGGAAACUUGUGCUAAUACCGGAUAAGUCUUUACGGAGAAAGCUUUAUGCACCAUUGGAUGAGCCUGCACUUGAUUAGUUUGUUGGUGGGGUAAUGGCCUACCAAGACUGUGAUCAAUAGCUGAUUUGAGAGGAUGAUCAGCCACAUUGGGACUGAGACACGGCCCAAACUCCUACGGGAGGCAGCAGUGGGGAAUCUUGCACAAUGGAGGAAACUCUGAUGCAGCGAUGCCGCGUGAGUGAAGAAGGCCUUUGGGUUGUAAAGCUCUUUCGUCGGGGAAGAAAAUGACUGUACCCGAAUAAGAAGGUCCGGCUAACUUCGUGCCAGCAGCCGCGGUAAUACGAAGGGACCUAGCGUAGUUCGGAAUUACUGGGCUUAAAGAGUUCGUAGGUGGUUGAAAAAGUUGGUGGUGAAAUCCCAGAGCUUAACUCUGGAACUGCCAUCAAAACUUUUCAGCUAGAGUAUGAUAGAGGAAAGCAGAAUUUCUAGUGUAGAGGUGAAAUUCGUAGAUAUUAGAAAGAAUACCAAUUGCGAAGGCAGCUUUCUGGAUCAUUACUGACACUGAGGAACGAAAGCAUGGGUAGCGAAGAGGAUUAGAUACCCUCGUAGUCCAUGCCGUAAACGAUGUGUGUUAGACGUUGGAAAUUUAUUUUCAGUGUCGCAGCGAAAGCGAUAAACACACCGCCUGGGGAGUACGACCGCAAGGUUAAAACUCAAAUGAAUUGACGGGGACCCGCACAAGUAGUGGAGCAUGUGGUUUAAUUCGAAGAUACGCGCAGAACCUUACCAACACUUGACAUGUUCGUCGCGACUCUAAGAGAUUAGAGUUUUCGGUUCGGCCGGACGAAACACAGGUGCUGCAUGGCUGUCGUCAGCUCGUGUCGUGAGAUGUUGGGUUAAGUCCCGCAACGAGCGCAACCCUCACUUUUAGUUGCCAUCAUUAAGUUGGGCACUCUGAAAGAACUGCCAGUGAUAAGCUGGAGGAAGGUGGGGAUGACGUCAAGUCCUCAUGGCCCUUACGUGUUGGGCUACACACGUGCUACAAUGGUAUCUACAACAGGAAGCAAGACUGCGAAGUUAAGCAAAUCCCUAAAAGAUACCUCAGUUCGGAUUGCACUCUGCAACUCGAGUGCAUGAAGCUGGAAUUACUAGUAAUCGUGGAUCAGCGUGCCACGGUGAAUGCGUUCCCGGGUCUUGUACACACCGCCCGUCACACCAUGGGAGUUGGUUCUACCUUAAGGCAAGGUUUUAAACCCUUGACCACGGUAUAGUCAGCGACUGGGGUGAAGUCAUAACAAGGUAGCCGUA
RNAcentral lists this ribosomal RNA (1439 nucleotides) under uncultured bacterium. Its description in RNAcentral is "bacterial SSU rRNA". It matches the Rfam family "Bacterial small subunit ribosomal RNA". The record is from RNAcentral.